CCUACGGGAGGCAGCAGUGGGGAAUAUUGGGCAAUGGAGGCAACUCUGACCCAGCAACGCCGCGUGAAUGAUGAAGGUCUUCGGAUUGUAAAGUUCUGUGAUGGGGGAUGAACACAAUGACGGUACUCCAAUAGCAAGCCACGGCUAACUACGUGCCAGCAGCCGAGGUAAUACGUAGGUGGCAAGCGUUAUACGGAAUGACUGGGCGUAAAGGUUGCGUAGGGGGUUUAGUAAGUUGGCGGUGUAAUUCCGGGGCUCAACCUCGGCGCUACCGCCAAAACUAGUAGACUAGAGUGCAGGAGAGGUGAGUAGAAUUCCUAGUGUAGCGGUGGAAUGCGUAGAUAUUAGGAGGAACAUCAGGGGCGAAGGCGACUUACUGGACUGUAACUGACACUGAGGCACGAAAGCGUGGGGAGCAAACAGGAUUAGAUACCCCAGUAGUC
Molecule: ribosomal RNA, 443 nt
Filed under: uncultured bacterium
Lineage: Bacteria
Description: partial 16S ribosomal RNA
Rfam family: Bacterial small subunit ribosomal RNA
Source: RNAcentral